Molecule: ribosomal RNA, 253 nt
Filed under: uncultured bacterium
Lineage: Bacteria
Description: partial 16S ribosomal RNA
Rfam family: Bacterial small subunit ribosomal RNA
Source: RNAcentral
UACGGGGGGAGCAAGCGUUGUUCGGAUUUACUGGGCGUAAAGGGCGCGUAGGCGGUAGCACAAGUCAGUUGUGAAAUCUCCGGGCUUAACUCGGAAAGGUCAACUGAUACUGUGCGACUAGAGUGCAGAAGGGGCAACUGGAAUUCUCGGUGUAGCGGUGAAAUGCGUAGAUAUGCGGAGGAACACCGAUGGCGAAGGCAAUCCCCUGGGCCUGCACUGACGCUCAUGCACGAAAGCGUGGGGAGCAAACAGG